GAGCAAAUUGCAAUAAGAAAUAAGUGCUUGACAAGAGAAGCUUGUCUGCUCGAGACAAGUAGGUUUAAACAUAAUAAAAGCAGGCAACAAACCAAGGUAUGGCCACCAGAGAGUGCAACAAUAUCCUUGUCAGAUAGACCCAUUUGCUUCACAAACACAUCUCUCAAGUGGUCAGAACCCUUGGUGGCAUCAGGUAAACGACCUUCAACUGGUGGCUCUGUCUUGUCCUCUCUACCAGGGUGAAAGGGAACAUCAGGUCCUCCAGUAACUUCAACAGCUACAACCCCAGCUAAUUGAUAGAAAUCACCAUAUGAGAGGAUAGGAAACUGCUCCUUGAUGGGCUCCAAGAGUCUGAUAGCAAUGUCAAUACCAUUGUUUGCUCCAUGUCCUUGCUCAGCCUUGAACCAAGGAAGGCAAAUCACAAUAAAUCUUAAGCUCCUUUUUCGUGCUGUUUCGCAGUCAAAUUGUGCUGUAUAAAGCUGCAAAGACAAUUCUCAAAGGAAGAACUUACCCUUGGUGGCAUCAGGCAAGCGACCUUCAACUGGUGGCUCUGUCUUGUCCUGUUAAUGGAAUGUUAAAGAUAGAAAUCUAGUUAGGUCCAGAUCUCGCCAAAAUAAACAAUUUUAACAUUGGCACAAUAAAGUUGCAAACAGACCACCACAAAGAUGUUGAAUCAUAAAAACAUGUAGUAUAAAAAGAGGCAUCAAAAUAUACAAACAAUAUGAAAUUUAGCCAACAGAACCAGCAGAAAAUUAGCAUUGGUGUGCACAAAAGCCGACUCAGAAACCACCAAUUAUCAACAAACAUAAAUUAGCAUCUAGUUGGUAUAUAUAUGACUUGGAAUUCAUUAGCUAAGAACGACGAACAUGGCCACAUUUGAAGAUAUAAGUAACACCAAGUAUUUCUUAAUUGAGCAGGAAAAGGAAGAUAAGAGUGUAUGAAUCAUCAAACUAGAAUUCAAUGCAAGAAUUCUUUACACAUCCUUCUAAAAGCGGGUGGUUUUAAGUCCAGAGCCCUACUCUGGUUACAGAGUGCAGGUAAGGACAAGAAAUAUUGGACUAGACUAUUCCUUAUGUAGAUGUAGCGGAUAAGCUUUCCGGCCUAAGCACCACACUACACGUAUAGACGCGAACCCUUCAGCGAACGGCUAGACACUUCUACAGUGGGAUCUCUUGAACUUAUGAAACUCGUGAAAGUGGGUGAACCCCUUGCCCCUUCCCUGGCAGUUAGUUCUUUAGCUUAGCUGGGAAGAAAGAGUUUGAUAGAAUUAAUCUGCUUCAUGACAUACCCUUGUCACUAGUGAAGCAUAUGCAUAUCAUAAUGCCUUGGUUAACCAUUAUCAAUAAGGCAAUAUUUCACUAAGAAUAUUGGCAAGGAUUUUUCGCCAAAAGUGUAAAAUCUGGAUAAAGGCUCUCACUAUCCAAUGUCAUUACUUCCUUGCUAAUAAGGCCUCAAGUUGAAUAAAGUACAAUUCAUUACACAUGUCAAAUAAAAUUGCUCAAGGCUGCAGAGACAGUCUCACUAACCUCUCUACCAGGGUGAAAGGGAACAUCAGGUCCUCCAGUAACUUCAACAGCAACAACUCCAGCUAACUACACAAAGAAAUGAACAACAAGUAAUUUCGGCACUUAGAUUUAGCAAACACAAUACAUAAAAUACCAACUCUAACAAUCAACAAGAAUACAUACUUGAUAGAAAUC
Molecule: long non-coding RNA, 1700 nt
Filed under: Nicotiana benthamiana
Lineage: Eukaryota; Viridiplantae; Streptophyta; Magnoliopsida; Solanales; Solanaceae
Description: long non-coding RNA (NBEN_LNC006081)
Source: RNAcentral